ACUACAAGUGAAAAACUUAAAACUCAAAGGACUUGACGGUGUCCCAUAUCGACCUAGAGGAGCCUGUCCUAUAAUCGAUACCCCCCGCUCCACCCGACCCCAACUAGCAUACAUCAGCCUAUAUACCGCCGUCGAUCAGCCUACCCUAUGAAAGUCCAACAGUAGACACAAUAGCCCCCCCGCUAAUACGUCAGGUCAAGGUGUAGCAAAUGUUGUGGAAGAGAUUGGCUACAUUUUUUAUUAUAAAAAAUACGAAAUAUACCAUGAAACAGUAUAUGAAGGUGAAUUUAGUAGUAAAAUAAACAAGAGUGUUUAUUUUAACAACGCUCUGGGACGCGUACACACCGCC
RNAcentral lists this ribosomal RNA (349 nucleotides) under Darevskia valentini. Its description in RNAcentral is "partial 12S ribosomal RNA". The record is from RNAcentral. Lineage: Eukaryota; Metazoa; Chordata; Lepidosauria; Squamata; Lacertidae.